This 464-nucleotide ribosomal RNA is filed under the name Vreelandella stevensii. RNAcentral describes it as "partial 16S ribosomal RNA". It matches the Rfam family "Bacterial small subunit ribosomal RNA", at positions 338 to 795 of the family's 1533-position model. Lineage: Bacteria; Pseudomonadati; Pseudomonadota; Gammaproteobacteria; Oceanospirillales; Halomonadaceae. The record is from RNAcentral.
CCUACGGGGAGCAGCAGUGGGGAAUAUUGGACAAUGGGCGAAAGCCUGAUCCAGCCAUGCCGCGUGUGUGAAGAAGGCCUUCGGGUUGUAAAGCACUUUCAGUGGGGAAGAAAGCCUUGGGGCUAAUACCCUCGAGGAAGGACAUCACCCACAGAAGAAGCACCGGCUAACUCCGUGCCAGCAGCCGCGGUAAUACGGAGGGUGCGAGCGUUAAUCGGAAUUACUGGGCGUAAAGCGCGCGUAGGCGGUCUGAUAAGCCGGUUGUGAAAGCCCCGGGCUCAACCUGGGAACGGCAUCCGGAACUGUCAGGCUAGAGUGCAGGAGAGGAAGGUAGAAUUCCCGGUGUAGCGGUGAAAUGCGUAGAGAUCGGGAGGAAUACCAGUGGCGAAGGCGGCCUUCUGGACUGACACUGACGCUGAGGUGCGAAAGCGUGGGUAGCAAACAGGAUUAGUACCCUAGUAGUC